GACGAACGCUGGCGGCGUGCUUAACACAUGCAAGUCGAACGGAAAGGCCCUGCUUUUGUGGGGUGCUCGAGUGGCGAACGGGUGAGUAACACGUGAGUAACCUGCCCUUGACUUUGGGAUAACUUCAGGAAACUGGGGCUCAUACCGGAUAGGAGCUCCUGCUGCAUGGUGGGGGUUGGAAAGAUUCGGCGGUUGGGGAUGGACUCGCGGCUUACCAGCUUGUUGGUGGGGUAGUGGCUUACCAAGGCUUUGACGGGUAGCCGGCCUGAGAGGGUGACCGGCCACAUUGGGACUGAGAUACGGCCCAGACUCCUACGGGAGGCAGCAGUGGGGAAUAUUGCACAAUGGGCGGAAGCCUGAUGCAGCAACGCCGCGUGCGGGAUGACGGCCUUCGGGUUGUAAACCGCUUUCGCCUGUAACGAAGCGUGAGUGACGGUAAUGGGUAAAGAAGCACCGGCUAACUACGUG
Molecule: ribosomal RNA, 468 nt
Filed under: uncultured bacterium
Lineage: Bacteria
Description: partial 16S ribosomal RNA
Rfam family: Bacterial small subunit ribosomal RNA
Source: RNAcentral